UAGCUAGUUGGUGAGGUAAAGGCUUACCAAGGCGACGAUCUGUAGCGGGUCUGAGAGGAUGAUCCGCCACACUGGAACUGAGACACGGUCCAGACUCCUACGGGAGGCAGCAGUGGGGAAUUUUGGACAAUGGGGGCAACCCUGAUCCAGCCAUGCCGCGUGAGUGAAGAAGGCCUUCGGGUUGUAAAGCUCUUUCGGCCGGGAAGAAAUCGCAUGGGCCAAUACCCUGUGUGGAUGACGGUACCGGAAUAAGAAGCACCGGCUAACUACGUGCCAGCAGCCGCGGUAAUACGUAGGGUGCGAGCGUUAAUCGGAAUUACUGGGCGUAAAGCGUGCGCAGGCGGUUUUGUAAGACAGGCGUGAAAUCCCCGGGCUUAACCUGGGAACUGCGUUUGUGACUGCAAGGCUAGAGUACGGCAGAGGGGGGUGGAAUUCCACGUGUAGCAGUGAAAUGCGUAGAGAUGUGGAGGAACACCAAUGGCGAAGGCAGCCCCCUGGGUCGAUACUGACGCUCAUGCACGAAAGCGUGGGUAGCAAACAGGAUUAGAUACCCUGGUAGUCCACGCCCUAAACUAUGUCAACUAGGUGUUGGGUGGGUAAAACCAUUUAGUACCGUAGCUAACGCGUGAAGUUGACCGCCUGGGGAGUACGGCCGCAAGGUUAAAACUCAAAGGAAUUGACGGGGACCCGCACAAGCGGUGGAUGAUGUGGAUUAAUUCGAUGCAACGCGAAAAACCUUACCUACCCUUGACAUGCCAGGAACUUGCCAGAGAUGGCUUGGUGCCCGAAAGGGAGCCUGGACACAGGUGCUGCAUGGCUGUCGUCAGCUCGUGUCGUGAGAUGUUGGGUUAAGUCCCGCAACGAGCGCAACCCUUGUCGUUAAUUGCCAUCAUUUAGUUGGGCACUUUAACGAGACUGCCGGUGACAAACCGGAGGAAGGUGGGGAUGACGUCAAGUCCUCAUGGCCCUUAUGGGUAGGGCUUCACACGUCAUACAAUGGUCGGUACAAAGGGUUGCCAAGCCGCGAGGCGGAGCCAAUCCCAGAAAGCCGAUCGUAGUCCGGAUUGCAGGCUGCAACUCGCCUGCAUGAAGUCGGAAUCGCUAGCAAUCGUGGAUCAGCAUGUCACGGUGAAUACGUUCCCGGGUCUUGUACACACCGCCCGUCACACCAUGGGAGCGGGUUCCGCCAGAAGUAGGUAGCCUAACCGCAAGGGGGGCGCUUACCACGGCGGGGUUCGUGACUGGGGUGAAGUCGGAACAAGGUAGCCGUAGGGUACCUGCGGCUG
Molecule: ribosomal RNA, 1286 nt
Filed under: metagenome
Description: bacterial SSU rRNA
Rfam family: Bacterial small subunit ribosomal RNA
Source: RNAcentral